Molecule: transfer RNA, 77 nt
Filed under: Candidatus Pelagibacterales bacterium
Lineage: Bacteria; Pseudomonadati; Pseudomonadota; Alphaproteobacteria; Candidatus Pelagibacterales
Also listed under: 1 other name
Description: tRNA-Met
Rfam family: tRNA
About the family: Transfer RNA (tRNA) molecules are approximately 80 nucleotides in length. Their secondary structure includes four short double-helical elements and three loops (D, anti-codon, and T loops).
Source: RNAcentral
GGGCCCGUAGCUCAGUUGGUUAGAGCAAACCGCUCAUAACGGUUGGGUCGUAGGUUCGAAUCCUACCGGGCCCACCA